UACGUAGGGUGCAAGCGUUGUCCGGAAUUAUUGGGCGUAAAGAGCUCGUAGGCGGUCUGUCGCGUCUGCUGUGAAAACUCGGGGCUUAACCCCGGGCCUGCAGUGGGUACGGGCAGACUAGAGUGCGGUAGGGGAGACUGGAAUUCCUGGUGUAGCGGUGAAAUGCGCAGAUAUCAGGAGGAACACCGAUGGCGAAGGCAGGUCUCUGGGCCGCAACUGACGCUGAGGAGCGAAAGCAUGGGGAGCGAACAGG
RNAcentral lists this ribosomal RNA (253 nucleotides) under uncultured bacterium. RNAcentral's name for it is "partial 16S ribosomal RNA". It matches the Rfam family "Bacterial small subunit ribosomal RNA", at positions 524 to 776 of the family's 1533-position model. The record is from RNAcentral.